GUCCACGCCCUAAACGAUGUCAACUAGUUGUUGGGGGCCUUACCGCCCUUAGUAACGCAGCUAACGCGUGAAGUUGACCGCCUGGGGAGUACGGUCGCAAGAUUAAAACUCAAAGGAAUUGACGGGGGCCCGCACAAGCGGUGGAUGAUGUGGAUUAAUUCGAUGCAACGCGAAAACCUUACCUACCCUUGACAUGUACGGAAGUCCGAUGAAAGUUGGAUGUGCCCCGAAAGGGAGCCGUAACACAGGUGCUGCAUGGCUGUCGU
RNAcentral lists this ribosomal RNA (266 nucleotides) under uncultured bacterium. RNAcentral describes it as "partial 16S ribosomal RNA". It matches the Rfam family "Bacterial small subunit ribosomal RNA", at positions 793 to 1055 of the family's 1533-position model. The record is from RNAcentral.